RNAcentral lists this ribosomal RNA (467 nucleotides) under uncultured bacterium. RNAcentral's name for it is "partial 16S ribosomal RNA". It matches the Rfam family "Bacterial small subunit ribosomal RNA", at positions 28 to 523 of the family's 1533-position model. The record is from RNAcentral.
GACGAACGCUGGCGGCGUGCUUAACACAUGCAAGUCGAGCGGGAAACUUCGGUUUCCAGCGGCGGACGGGUGAGUAACACGUGGGCAACCUGCCUCACAAUGAGGGAUAGCCUUCCGAAAGGAAGAUUAAUACCUCAUAAUACAAGAGAAACGCAUGUUUCUCUUGCCAAAGAAUUUCGUUGUGAGAUGGGCCCGCGGCGCAUUAGCUUGUUGGUGAGGUAACGGCUCACCAAGGCUGCGAUGCGUAGCCGACCUGAGAGGGUGAUCGGCCACAUUGGAACUGAGACACGGUCCAGACUCCCACGGGAGGCAGCAGUGGGGAAUAUUGCACAAUGGAGGAAACUCUGAUGCAGCAACGCCGCGUGAGUGAUGAAGGUCUUCGGAUUGUAAAGCUCUGUCUUCUGGGACGAUAAUGACGGUACCAGAGGAGGAAGCCACGGCUAACUACGUGCCAGCAGCCGCGGUAA